RNAcentral lists this non-coding RNA (22 nucleotides) under Arabidopsis thaliana (thale cress). Lineage: Eukaryota; Viridiplantae; Streptophyta; Magnoliopsida; Brassicales; Brassicaceae. The record is from RNAcentral.
UGAGGCCUGAAACGUGACAUAG